CAGCCAGACUCCUACGGGAGGCAGCAGUGAGGAAUAUUGGUCAAUGGGCGAGAGCCUGAACCAGCCAAGUCGCGUGAGGGAGGACGGCCCUACGGGUUGUAAACCUCUUUUGCCGGGGGACAAACGGCGGCACGCGUGCCGUCCUGAGGGUACCCGGAGAAAAAGCAUCGGCUAACUCCGUGCCAGCAGCCGCGGUAAUACGGAGGAUGCGAGCGUUAUCCGGAUUUAUUGGGUUUAAAGGGUGCGUAGGCGGGAUGCCAGGUCAGCGGUAAAAUCGCGGGGCUCAACCUCGCUCCGCCGUUGAAACUGGCAGUCUCGAGUUGGAGAGAAGUAUGCGGAAUGCGCGGUGUAGCGGUGAAAUGCAUAGAUAUCGCGCAGAACUCCGAUUGCGAAGGCAGCAUGCCGGCUCCACACUGACGCUGAGGCACGAAAGCGUGGGUAUCGAACAGGAUUAGAUACCCCGGUA
This 466-nucleotide ribosomal RNA is filed under the name uncultured bacterium. RNAcentral's name for it is "bacterial SSU rRNA". It matches the Rfam family "Bacterial small subunit ribosomal RNA", at positions 328 to 792 of the family's 1533-position model. The record is from RNAcentral.